Molecule: long non-coding RNA, 1039 nt
Filed under: Brassica napus (rape)
Lineage: Eukaryota; Viridiplantae; Streptophyta; Magnoliopsida; Brassicales; Brassicaceae
Description: long non-coding RNA (BNAP_LNC012080)
Source: RNAcentral
ACAGAUUGAGCUACAUCAGAUGUAUCCGUUUCUUGAGAAGAGUGAGUCAAAUCAGGAUCAUAACUGUAGGUGAAGAUAUCAAAUUUUUUCUUGUUUGAGAAGUCAAAGCAUUGUCACUACGAGAAACAAGGUCAUUGAUUGUUUCUUGACCAGAACAUUCAGGUAACACUGCACCAGACAUAUUACUAUGUUGAAAAGCAAUUGAAGACCUUGAGAGUGCUUCAGUAAAGAGAGAAAGAUCAGAGGAAGCUACUGAAAGAAAUUAGCGUGGUUGUUGUUCAAAAGACAAGUGUUUCCUUGUUAUUGUAAAUGAUAAAUGACUUUUCAGGAGAUAAAAAAAACAUUUAUCAAGUACAAAAAUUCUGUUUAUAUCAACUAUCAAGUUACAGCAAUCAUGAAGUAUCAAAAUUACAAUGAACCGAGCAAUUAAAUCAAGUUUUGUCUAUAAUCCCCAUACCAACAUCUAUCGCAAAUGAGAAAAAGUUUCAUUGCAGGUAAAAUCAGCUUUAUACUUUUUCAACUAGGUAGUCAUAAACUUCCAUCUUUCCUCUCCUUGCUGCAAUUUCAGAGGGCGUGUAUCCAUCCUGGAAACAUGAACAAUCCUUUGUGUAAAGGCAGGUUUAAGUUUCAAAAAAGCAGAAAAAUCAAUGUACAAACCUUGUCAGUGAUCUCUAGUGUUGCCCCAUAAGUGUUUAAGAUCUUAGUGAUCUCCAUAUUAUAGAAUGAACGAUAUGUAUUAUUGAUAUCAGAGUACACAUUAUAUACAUCAUAGAAAGUAGGGCUUUCACGUUAGAUAUUUACAUAAGACACUUUCCAUAUAUAUACUCUACACGCCCUCUCAAGAUGGAGGUACUUGAGUAACUCCAAUCUUGCCAAAUAAUUCUUGAAAUCUUGCUCUCGAGAGCGGUUUUGUAAGAGCAUCAGCAAGCUGGUCUUUGGUUGAAACAUGAGCAACACGAGAAAAGCAAUUGAAGACCUUGAGAGUGCUUCAGUAAAGAGAGAAAGAUCAGAGGAAGCUACUGAAAGAAAUUAGCGUGGU